This 779-nucleotide ribosomal RNA is filed under the name uncultured bacterium. RNAcentral describes it as "bacterial SSU rRNA". It matches the Rfam family "Bacterial small subunit ribosomal RNA", at positions 8 to 796 of the family's 1533-position model. The record is from RNAcentral.
AGAGUUUGAUCCUGGCUCAGGACGAACGCUGACGGCGUGCUUAACACAUGCAAGUCGAGCGGGGUCCAACCACUGGCAACAGUGGGGAAGACCUAGCGGCGAACGGGUGAGUAACACGUGAGGAACCUGCCCCAGAGACCGGGAUAACCCUCCGAAAGGAGAGCUAAUACCGGAUGUCCUUCUCGGAUCGCAUGAUCUGACGAGGAAAUGGAUUCCGCUCUGGGAGGGCCUCGCGGCCUAUCAGCUUGUUGGUGAGGUAACGGCUCACCAAGGCAUCGACGGGUAGCUGGUCUGAGAGGACGAUCAGCCACACUGGGACUGAGACACGGCCCAGACUCCUACGGGAGGCAGCAGUGGGGAAUCUUGCGCAAUGGGCGAAAGCCUGACGCAGCAACGCCGCGUGGGGGAUGAAGGCUUUCGGGUUGUAAACCCCUUUCAGCAGGGACGAUUAUGACGGUACCUGCAGAAGAAGGACCGGCCAACUACGUGCCAGCAGCCGCGGUAAUACGUAGGGUCCAAGCGUUGUCCGGAUUUAUUGGGCGUAAAGAGCUCGUAGGCGGCUCAGUAAGUCGGAUGUGAAAACUCGGGGCUCAACCCCGAGACGCCAUCCGAUACUGCUGUGGCUUGAGUCUGGUAGGGGAACACGGAAUUCCUGGUGUAGCGGUGAAAUGCGCAGAUAUCAGGAGGAACACCGAUGGCGAAGGCAGUGUUCUGGGCCAGUACUGACGCUGAGGAGCGAAAGCGUGGGUAGCAAACAGGAUUAGAUACCCUAGUAGUCC